Molecule: non-coding RNA, 36 nt
Organism: Chitinophaga pinensis DSM 2588
Lineage: Bacteria; Pseudomonadati; Bacteroidota; Chitinophagia; Chitinophagales; Chitinophagaceae
Source: Rfam
AACAGGUAUGCCGAAAACUGAAUGAUAGAGUAGGCA